RNAcentral lists this ribosomal RNA (2163 nucleotides) under Triticum aestivum (bread wheat). RNAcentral describes it as "partial small subunit ribosomal RNA". Lineage: Eukaryota; Viridiplantae; Streptophyta; Magnoliopsida; Poales; Poaceae. The record is from RNAcentral.
AUGCUGCCGCACGCGCCGUCCCGUUACCCUGGCACCGCCAAGUUCAAACCCCUCGUCCCCGCCAAACCGCCCCUCUCUCCCGCGUCCUCCCCGUCGUCCCGCGGGAGCCUCUGCGCCGCCGCCGCCUCACGCCGCGACUUCCUCCUGCUCGUCCCGUCCCUGGCCGCGGCGUCCACGGCCCUCCAGUACCUCCCCCUCGCGGCCUCCGCCGCGGACGACGAGAAGCCGGCCCCGCCACCACCGCCCGCUCCGGCCCCGGCCCCAGCGGAGGAGCCCAACGGGGAGGCGGCCCUGUCGAGGAUGUACGACGCCACGGUCAUCGGCGAGCCGCAGGCCGUGGGCAAGGACGCGCGCGGGAGGGUGUGGGAGAAGCUCAUGGCCGCGCGGGUCGUCUACCUCGGGGAGGCCGAGCUCGUGCCCGACCGCGACGACCGGCUGCUCGAGCUCGAGAUCGUCCGGAAGCUGGCCGCUCGCUGCGCCGACGCCGGGAGGACCCUCUCGCUCUCGCUCGAGGCCUUCCCCUGCGACCUCCAGGAGCAGCUCAACCAGUUCAUGGACGGGAGAAUUGACGGCAACAGCUUAAGGCUGUACACAUCUCACUGGGCACCGGAGCGCUGGCAGGAGUAUGAACCUCUUUUAAACUACUGCCGUGAUAAUGGAAUCAAGCUUAUUGCAUGUGGAACUCCACUUGAGGUGGUAAGAACUGUCCAAGCAGAAGGAAUCAAAGGCCUUUCAAAAGAGCAGAGGAAGUUGUAUGCUCCUCCAGCUGGCUCAGGCUUCAUUUCUGGCUUUACAUCCAUCUCAGGCCGAUCAUUGAUAGACAAGACUUCAUCCUCUCGUGUCUCUCCUUUUGGCCCUAGCUCAUAUCUAUCUGCACAGGCAAGAGUAGUUGAUGAUUAUACCAUGUCCCAAAUAAUAGUGAAGGAAAUUAGUACUGGAGAUCCUUCAGGGAUGCUCGUUGUUGUAACUGGUGCAAGCCAUGUUAUGUAUGGGUCACGAGGAAUUGGUGUUCCUGCCAGAAUAUCUAAAAAGAUGCAAAAGAAAAAGCAAGUUGUGAUCCUUCUUGAUCCUGAGAGGCAAGGUAUAAGGCGAGAAGGUGAAAUCCCAGUAGCGGAUUUAUUGUGGUAUUCUGCUGCCAAGCCAUGCAGUCGAAAUUGCUUUGACCGUGCUGAAAUCGCUAGAGUUAUGAAUGCAGCUGGUAGGAGGCGUGAAGCUCUGCCCCAGGAUAUUCAGAAAGGAAUAGAUCUUGGUGUAGUUUCUCCUGAGAUAUUGCAGAACUUUUUUGACCUUGAGAAAUACCCUGUCGUGGAUGAAUUGAUUCACCGAUUCCAAGGUUUCCGUGAAAGGUUACUGGCAGAUCCCCAAUUCUUGAAUAGAUUAGCUAUCGAAGAGGGUAUAUCAAUAACUACAGCUGUCUUAGCACAAUAUGAAAAACGGAAAGGACGGUUUUUUGAAGAGAUCGACUAUGUCCUUACUGAUACAAUUAGAGGUUCUGUUGUUGACUUUUUUACAGUCUGGCUUCCUGCUCCUACUAUUUCGCUCUUAUCUAUUGCUGACAAUGGUUCUGGUGAGAGCUUGGAGCUUGUCAGAGGAUUGUUAGGGUCACUGCCAGAUAAUGCAUUUCAAAAGGGUAUCGUGGGCCAGAAUUGGGACAUGAACCAGAGAUUUGCAUCGGUACUAGUGGGUGGUCUGAAACUUGCUGGUGUUGGAUUUGUUUCCAGUAUUGGAGCUGGAGUUGCUUCGGAUGUUUUGUAUGCUGCUCGUCGAGUUUUGAGUCCUACAAGUAUAGAGGCAGAACGCCCAAGAGCUCCCAUUUGGAAAGCAGCUUCUGUGUAUAGUGGCUUCCUUGGAACAUCAGCAAAUCUGCGGUAUCAGGUCAUUGCUGGUCUAGUGGAGCACCGGCUUGGAGAGUAUCUUGUGUCAUACUAUAAUCAGCCAAUUCUUGCUAACGUGCUGUCCUUUGUUGCACGGAUAAUCAAUUCAUACUUUGGAACACAGCAAUGGAUUGAUCUUGCGCGAUCUACAGGCAUCCAAACUAGUGAGGAAGAGCCACCUUCUCCUGACACUCCCAUCUCAUCAGAAAUACCAGUGUUAGAAUGUGGCACGGCAGAAGUACCAAGUACAGACGAUAUUAAUAAGAACCAAUCAGGUGAGCAGACAUAG